RNAcentral lists this transfer RNA (72 nucleotides) under Anneissia japonica. Its description in RNAcentral is "tRNA-Gln". It matches the Rfam family "tRNA". From Rfam's summary of the family: Transfer RNA (tRNA) molecules are approximately 80 nucleotides in length. Their secondary structure includes four short double-helical elements and three loops (D, anti-codon, and T loops). Further hydrogen bonds mediate the characteristic L-shaped molecular structure. tRNAs have two regions of fundamental functional importance: the anti-codon, which is responsible for specific mRNA codon recognition, and the 3' end, to which the tRNAs corresponding amino acid is attached (by aminoacyl-tRNA synthetases). tRNAs cope with the degeneracy of the genetic code in two manners: having more than one tRNA (with a specific anti-codon) for a particular amino acid; and 'wobble' base-pairing, i.e. permitting non-standard base-pairing at the 3rd anti-codon position. Lineage: Eukaryota; Metazoa; Echinodermata; Crinoidea; Comatulida; Comatulidae. The record is from RNAcentral.
GGUUCUAUGGUUUAAUGGUUAGCACUUUUGACUUUGAAUCCAGCGAUCCGAGUUCAAAUCUCGGUAGAACCU